GACUGGAAUGUGCUGCUGGAAACAGAUGUGGAUAGUAUGAACAUUGAUAAACAGGUUGACUGCUUUACUGAUUAUGUCAACUUCUGUAGAGACACAGUUAUACCCACAAAAACUGUUCGCUGUUUCCCCAACAACAAACCCUGGAUCACAAGAGACAUAAAAGCAAUCCUUAACCAGAAAAAGAAAGCUUUUAAAGAUGGUGACCAAGAACAACUCAAACAAGUGCAACAAGAGUUGAAGAGGAGACUGAAGAUGGCAAAGUUGGAGUACAAAAAGAAGAUAGAGAAGAAUCUACAACACAGCAACAUCUGUGAAGUGUGGAGAGGAAUCAGUACCAUCUCUGGACACAGCAGUCAAAAGAAAAGACAGCCAGUGGUGGGUGAUGUGAAAAGAGCUAAUGAAUUCAACCUGUUCUUCAACAGAUUUGACACUGCUGUCACUCCCACUUCCACUGCUACUCCACCUUCCUCUCUGCAACAAAUCUCCACUACAACUUCUCCCCUUCCUCCUCCAUCUCGUUCAAAUGUCUCAACCACUUCAACUGCCUCCCUCCUAGAACACCAGUCCUUGUCUGUCACCGAAACAGGGGUGAGGAUAGAGCUUGGAAGACUUUGUCCUGGGAAGGCAGGUGGUCCAGAUGGUGUGUGUCCAAGGCUGCUUAGAGACUGUGCUGCAGAACUGUGUCAACCUCUCCACAAGAUCUUCAACCUGAGUCUACAGCUGGGGCAGGUACCCACUCUGUGGAAAAAAUCCUGCAUUGUGCCAGUACCAAAAAGAAAAGUCCAGCUGAACUCAAUAACUACAGACCAGUUACCCUCACUUCACACAUCAUGAAGACCCUGGAGCGGCUGAUUCUGCGCCUUCUAAGGACUGAGGUCAAAGACAAACUGGACUCCCUGCAGUUUGCAUACAAAGAACACAUUGGAGUGGAUGAUGCUGUCCUCUACAUGCUUCACCGUGCCCUGUCUCAUCUGGAGGAACCUGGGGUUUAUGUGAGGAUCAUGUUCUUCGACUUUUCAAGUGCAUUCAACACCAUCCAACCCACCAUACUCAAAGACAAGCUCACAGAGAUGGGAGUGGAUCCUUCCUGUGUUUCCUGGAUCGCAGUUUACCUGACAGGAAGGCCACAGUUUGUCAGGCUGGGGAACUGUGUUUCUGGGACAUUAAUGAGCAGUACAGGGGCUACACAAGGGACAGUGCUGGCGCCAUUCCUGUUCACACUGUACACGUCAGACUUCAAAUACAGUACUGAGUCCUGCCACAUCCAGAAAUACUCAGAUGACACCGCUAUUGUGGCAUGUAUCAGAAAUGGACAAGAAGCUGAAUACAGAGAUCUAAUAAGAGCCUUCAGUGACUGGAGUCACAAAAACUGCCUCCUCUUCAACACCUCAAAGACAAAGGAGAUGGUCAUAGAUCCAAACCCCCUCUUCAGCCAGUGAACACCUGAGGAGUAGACAUCGAAGUGGUGACUUCAUAUAAAUACCUAGGUGCACAUCUGGAUAAUAAGUUGGAUUGGUUUAAGAAUAUAGACUACAUCUACAGAAAGGGGAGCUGCCUCUUUUGCCUGAGAAGACUCCAAUCAAUAGACAUCUGUAGUAAGAUGCUGCAGAUGUUUUAUCAAUCUGUGGUGGCAAGUUCUGCUGGGGAGGACGCAUCAAACACAAAGAUGCAAGACGUCUUAACAAACUGGUGAAAAAGGCUGGCUCUGUGGUAGGACUCAAGCUGGACUCAGUGGAGGAUGUGGUGGAGAGAUCUACACUGAGGAAGGUGGAGACUAUUCUGAAGAACAUGGAUCACCCACUUCAAAACACCUUGAUGGACCAAAGGGCAAAUGGUGGUGGACGGCUCCUCUCUCUUCGCUGCAGGACAAAAAGAUUUAGAAAAUCUUUUGUACCAACAGCCAUCAGGCUUUAUAACUCUUAUGUAAAUAAUAGAUAACUUUUAUAGACAUGUUACGUGAGACAACAGACAAUUUAAUUUCCCUCUGGGGAUCAAUAAAGUUUGAUAAAGUUUUUCUUAUCUCACAGCGGGGCGCUGUGUCAGUUCACCUAUAGCUUUGAUUGAUGGGCGGCACCGCACCACUGGAUAAUGUAGCUGUAGCUCUCGCCCUGCCCUCUCUGCUUUUGGACCUGUGUCAACAUUUUAGAUACCAGUGACCAUCCGUCUGUUUUCAUAUGUCACCUGGCAACCUUUUCGCGACACGAAUAUUUGCUCAAGUUGAGACAUUUUCAGCUCCCCCCAAUUCACAUCAUUCAUGCCAGAGUAGUACGAGCGUCUUUGCAUUGAUUUAACAUGUAAUUCGUUUGCACAAGUGAUUUCACUCACACUUGGUGUGUGGAGACAGUUACAGUUCCUGAACAGCAAUGCUGUUUUCUGCUCUGCUUCACUUCUUAGGAUUGAAUGGUGUUGUUGUUGCUGUCUUUGUAUCAAUGAAUGUUGGCCUCAAUCAUGGAGCACUGUUUGGCCUGUCCAGCGCCUGGCCUUUUAAUUGUUGAUUACCAUGAAUUUUUAAUAGGGUUCAGUGGAAUGCUGUUUAUUUCGUUAGCAAAUUUGUUGAGUUUGAUUAUAUUAGACAUUUAUUUGUCUUUUGGGUUAUUUUAUUUGUCCUUAUUGCUUUAUGGUUGCUGUGUGUGUGUGUGUGUGUGUGUGUGUGUGUGUGUGUGUGUGUUUGUUUGUUUGUGUGUGUGUGUAUAUGUUAGUUCUUCCUUCCGUUUUUUUUUUUUUUCUAGGGCUGCCACGGUAUGUUCCAGCCCUAUCCUAGGGUUUUUUCUUUUGUUUGUCCAUUUGGCCAUACUGAAAUUGAGUGUUGCAGUUGAUUUGGAUGUUCUGAAGUUAUUGGUCAUUUGUUUAAUAAAGACUUUCAUAUAUUUUGUACAAACCGUCUCUGGCCCUGUGGUAAUUUUUAACCUUGUGUGUCUUUCAAUUACAAUUAUUUAAUUAUUUCCUGGAGAGUGACUCCCCAGGUGGUGUUGCUUGGUAUUAUUAUUUAACUUUUCAACCCUCCAAUCACUACAUGAAGUUCUUAAUUAAGUAAAUAUUCCUUUAUAAUUACACCUGAGUUUGUUUGUGUAAAGAAUGGUAAUUUUUUUCCUGGCUUUCCGUAGCAUCUUGAUGGUCCUUACCAUGCACCUAAAUGGAAAAUAAUAAUUGUUGUCCUUUAUUAAAUUUUUGAGGUUAUAUACUUGUUUGCUGUAAAAUUGCUUCAGUGUUGAGCGCUGUACCUGUGUUUCAAUCCCUC
This is a non-coding RNA of Xyrichtys novacula (pearly razorfish), 3238 nucleotides long. The record is from the annotation of a GenBank genome assembly. NCBI's taxonomy places the organism in Eukaryota, Metazoa, Chordata, Actinopteri, Labriformes, Labridae.